AUAUUGGCUGUGAAGGGAAUAAGUAAAAAUGAUGAUUUCUCUAGAGAGUGAAAUUCGAUGGCUGGAAAAUUUCACAGAAUAUAUUUAUUUUGAACCCACCCCAGAGCCUAUGGCGGGAAAAGAAGUCAUACGGUUGGCGAUACCGUUAUCAUCGUAGGAAGAUAAUCUGUAAAUAUUAAAUACUAAAUCAUUUUAAGCAUAAAUUAUAGAUUAAUUAGAGUGGUACCGCGAAUAGCCUUCGUCUCUAAA
Molecule: non-coding RNA, 249 nt
Filed under: Maledivibacter halophilus
Lineage: Bacteria; Bacillati; Bacillota; Clostridia; Peptostreptococcales; Caminicellaceae
Description: Clostridium halophilum T-box sequence
Rfam family: T-box leader
About the family: Uncharged tRNA acts as the effector for transcription antitermination of genes in the T-box leader family.
Source: RNAcentral